Molecule: transfer RNA, 72 nt
Filed under: Camelus bactrianus (Bactrian camel)
Lineage: Eukaryota; Metazoa; Chordata; Mammalia; Artiodactyla; Camelidae
Also listed under: 2 other names
Rfam family: tRNA
About the family: Transfer RNA (tRNA) molecules are approximately 80 nucleotides in length. Their secondary structure includes four short double-helical elements and three loops (D, anti-codon, and T loops).
Source: Rfam by way of RNAcentral
GAGGGUAUAGCUCAGUGGUAGAGUGCAUGCUUAACAUGCACGAGGUCCUGGGUUCAAUCCCCAGUACCUCCA